Molecule: ribosomal RNA, 303 nt
Filed under: uncultured bacterium
Lineage: Bacteria
Description: partial 16S ribosomal RNA
Rfam family: Bacterial small subunit ribosomal RNA
Source: RNAcentral
AGCAGUCGCCGCGGUAAUACGUAGGUCCCGAGCGUUGUCCGGAUUUAUUGGGCGUAAAGCGAGCGCAGGCGGUUAGAUAAGUCUGAAGUUAAAGGCUGUGGCUUAACCAUAGUACGCUUUGGAAACUGUUUAACUUGAGUGCAGAAGGGGAGAGUGGAAUUCCAUGUGUAGCGGUGAAAUGCGUAGAUAUAUGGAGGAACACCAGUGGCGAAGGCGGCUCACUGGCCCGUUGUUGACGCUGAGGUGCGAAAGCGUGGGGAGCAAACAGGAUUAGAUACCCCUGUAGUCCCUGUCUCUUAUACA